This is a long non-coding RNA of Lolium rigidum, 1383 nucleotides long. RefSeq lists it as uncharacterized. NCBI's taxonomy places the organism in Eukaryota, Viridiplantae, Streptophyta, Magnoliopsida, Poales, Poaceae. The record is from RefSeq and is a predicted model, not a curated record. The transcript has 2 exons.
CGUCUACUUGCUCAAUGCUGCCUCCUUUUAGAAGCUCAUCAACAUCAGUUUCGAAAGGUCAAUUUUUUUUCUUUGGUCAUGCUUGGAUAGAUCGCUGCCACAUGCUAUCCAAUACUGUUCUGCAUGGUGCUCUGGGCCGUGGCAUUCGUGCCACUGCUGUCUCUGCGUGUUUGUGCAAGCCAAGCACUAUACUUCACUGUUCUGGUCCGUUAGAUUGAUUCAUAGAAUUUCGUUUCCGUUUCUAAUGUGCAAACUUUUUCUAAUGUGUGAGGUGCAUAAGCAUGUGGGCCGGCUCGCCUUCCACCCUCAAACCUGCGCCAGGCUGACUCGCCGGUGAAUGUACACGUCGCCCACAUGGCAGGCGUCCAUCCGACAUGCUGCUCCUUCGACAGAAAGGGGAGCUGGUGCUUCGAAAAGUAAGCACCUUUCUGUAUAUUCCCCCCUCUCUAACCCUUGGCUUGGAUUUGCGUUUAGCCUAGCCAUUGGAUGAUGUCGACAAAUCUGCUUUGUUUGCAUUGUAGAAAAUUCCGCUGCCUGUGUAGAUCUCACUGCUCCUAGGCAGUGAUUUGGUUUAUUAUUGUGUGAGGUGUUUCUGGGUACUGGAACAUGCUUGUUUCCUUGCAUUUCUGCUUCCUGUACUACUUUUCUCGUUCAUUCUUAUUUAUAAACACUCAAAUUGUUGGUUGUGCUUUAUGUUUAGGAUCUGUUGGUAAUGUGUGUAUCAAGAAUAAAAAUAAGAAUCAAGGUGUUAAGCGUACGUACAUGCAACAUUUAUCUCCUUUCCUCCUACAUGUAGCCAGCUUGUAGAACCAUGUUUUGUUGUUGCUGCUAAUUUGUUUCACAAUACCCUCGAUGCAAAUGGACAGACUUAUUACAAGUUGAAUUGUGUAUGCUCAAGUGCCCAGCAGGGUAUUUUAGAUGGCUGCUAUCUCGAAUCUUUUCUAAGUAUAUCAGCGUUUAGCUAUGCUGACCAUGAUUUGUUCUUGUCCGAGGAAAACACAAACUAAUCGACUCUGGUGGCCUUCUUCUUCGACUCCAUGUGCUUAGCAUGUAAAGAAAGAAAGAUUAAGAAGGAUGAGCCAGAUCCUUUAACUUUCUCUGUAUGCAUGUAAUCCAAUCGGUCUGGUGCAGAGGUGUUGGGACACGGCCGCCAUUGUGUGCCCUUGUGUCUAGCUCAAGUCGGUUCGAGAGUCUAGCGUGACCUGGAAAGCUGUCGCUGGCCAUGGCUUAUGUGUAACAAUUGCUGUUUCGGUCCUUGUAUUGUUUGGCCCAUGUAACAUCCUUCUUGUAAUGCUCCAAAAUAGGAGUUGUAAUAGUGAGUUGUUUACCUUGCCAUGUUUGUAGUCUUUGGUCACGAGUAAAAAAUGGGUUGUGCUCUUGGCA